This is a long non-coding RNA of Brassica napus (rape), 5193 nucleotides long. RefSeq lists it as uncharacterized. Lineage: Eukaryota; Viridiplantae; Streptophyta; Magnoliopsida; Brassicales; Brassicaceae. The record is from RefSeq and is a predicted model, not a curated record. The transcript has 6 exons.
GAAACCAGCUAAAUUUUAAAAUAUUACUAAAAGCUUAAAAAUAAAUUAAAGAAAGUAUUAUAAUAUAUAUAUCUUCAUCAUCUUUAUUGUUUUUAGGUAUUUUUGGUUCUAUAAAACACCACCAACAUCGUAUACACACAAUAUAAUAAGUUAUACGCCACAACCUACUUAAUAUAGACAAAAACAUCAAAAUCAUACAUAAUUAAUCUUAAUUAACAUACAUAAUCCCUUUACACACCAACGUUCUUAAAAACCAAAAAUAGUAUAAUACAUUUCUCUUGCAGAAGCUUAUAGAACACACACAAAAAUAACAUACAAUUCCAUAGAUAUAUACAUCUAUUAUUAUAAAAAAGAGUUUCCUCUCUCCAGGACCUUCCACGUCGGAUGCUAGGUCAAUAAGUCGAGGUUUCACGUCGCGACACCUGUCCCUGCACACAAAACGCAAUGCUUUGUCAAAUGAGUAUAGUCUGGUCUUUGUAUCGUGACGCGUUUGUUAGAUCAAAAAGAUUGGGCUCGGCGCGUUUGUUUAAUAUUGGGCCCAAAGAAAACGUACUCAAUAAACCUAAUCUGAUACCGCGGAAGCAAGUGUAUUCUUUUCUCUCUACUGCGUGAGACGGCGACGGUGGCGCUCGAGUUUCUUCACCAUUACCGAAUCAGAUUUCGUUGGUGUUUAAUCCCAUUAUCUAUGACGCCCACUGCGAGUUCUUCAAUGUGUGGUUUACGUCGGAGAAGCUCUGUCAAUUCGGGUGUUCUUCUCCUAUUUGAAGGCCGGCAAGUGUUCAUCCGGCUAGGCUGCUGCGUUUCUGGGAGGCAAGGAAUGUGAAGCGCCCCUCCAGACUCAGACUUGGCGACUAUCGAGUUUCAGAUAAUUAUUUAAAAGAGCUUUCACCUAAUUUUGAAGAAGGCAUUCAGAUUGAUAGAUGAUGAGCUUGAGCAAGUUAGAGGCUUUUUAUCGAUGAAACUCUGCCAUUUAAAGAAUGGUUAAAGAUAUUGGGGGCUGUCUUCGCAUCAAGUUUUUCCAGUUUUUGUUUUACGCAUUAGACGAUGUGUUGUGAGAUCAGCAAGUGAAUCACACAUUUUUUUUGUUGCAGAUACCUGGUGCAAAAGUUGGUUACAGACAAUACUGAUGCUGCCAUUUUGUUGCAUUGGAUGGGUCAAUAACAAAGCUAAUCAAUGUUCGUGCCUCUGAGGUUUUCCCUGGUAUGGUUCGCCACAAGACCAAGCACAUGGUAACCAAGGGGAAUAAGAACUGCAAUGUUUUUCAGCAUCACGUUUUAGGAUUGUUCGUUUUAGUACAAAUGCUUUUAAGCCUAUUAUGUUCAGCUUCUGAGAAAGUGAGUUUAUUGUUAUUUUUAUGAACCUGUUUUACUCCGCACAUUCUAUUUUAAAACAAUGUAAAAAAAUUAAUAUUAGUUUGUUUACUCAAUAACGGUGGUAUCGAUUUUCCAUACUCGGAUUAUUCACACGGUAACUUACUUGGCAAGCACGCAAAACAACAAUAAUGAUAGUCCUCUGAUCCACCAAAUAUGCUUAGCAUGUCAAAAUACAUUCGCUAUCACUUAGUCUUGGGAGAACACGAAGAAUAAAAGAAUAUUAUGUAUUUGUAUGCUAUUCAUAAUUUUGUUUAAAACAGAAAAUUAUUUUGAUCAUAAUAGCCCACAUAUGAGUGUUUGUUUGUCGGUUUAGGAUAGUUCUAUAUCUACGCUUUCCGUGAGAUUGUUUUAACAGAUUCUUUGUGCGGAACUGCGGAUUGUCCUUACAUGAUUUCCCUGUUAUGCUAUUCAAAUCUGUACAGGCAAAUAUCAGUGGAUUUGAUAUGAUUCAAAAUCUAAAUUCAUCAUUUAAAGCUUGCCUUAUCAUGCACUGCGCUAUCAAAACAAAAGGAAACCAAAUCAUUAUACUUUAAUAUAGUAUUCUCCCAUUUAUUCUCAUGAACUAUUACGGUUUUAAAUUUUUUGUUACAAACACAUAUUUCUACGUAUCAAAGGGUGAGUAUAUUUUUGUUUUAUUUUUUCUUAGAAAAAUUUUAUUUUUAUAUUUGUGUAUUUUUUUUGUAACCAUAUUUGUGUUUAAUAUUAAUUUAAUCUAAUAAAGUUUUCCAUAACUAUAUAAAUAUGUCAAGUUGCAUAACUAUAUACCUGUGCCAUAUGCAUUUCAGAAAUUAUUUUUUAAACUUUUUUCUAAAGUUUGCAACAUAUUAUAUAUUCUUAGUAGUUACCUAACAUAAUUAGUCAAGAAUAUUCGUACUCAAAAAUCUGAAUCGAUCCGAAAAUCAAAGUCUCAUAUUCUAUUAGACUUCUAUUAGACAUGACCAAUAUAUUCCAACGGUUCUUAAAGUAUUAUAUCCGAAAACCAAUAUCAAAUCCAACCCGCACCGAAAACCAAACAAAUUUUUUGAAAAUUGUUUGAACAUAAUAAAUUUUAAUAUAUUCUGUUAAAUAUAUAUAUGGGUUAAUAUGAUUUUCAACUAUCUUUAAGUAAAAUCACAUCUUAUACAAUAAAACAGACUUGCCUCUCUCCUCAUUAAGCCACGUCAUCAAGUAGGAGAGGGCAAAUCUCGACACGUGUCAACACCUGGGUUGUUCUGUGUUUUUUUUCUUGGUUUUGUUUCUUACGUUGUCUGAUACGAAAGUGUGAACUGGGCUUUAUAGUAUUUGUGCAUGAAGCCCAUAGUGGAGCCCAGUCUUCUUCACGCUGUCUCAACCCACAAGUGGUUUAGGGUUUUCUCCUAGAGUAACUUACUUGAGCUUGGGGUAUAAAUAUCCCCUUCAUCCAGAAAUGAAGAUUAGAGCUUCGACAACAACCAAAUACUCUGUUCAACUUUCCGGUUAUUACAAUGGCGAAUCUCCAAAUGUUUCUUGCCGAUUUGAGAGGACAAUAACAUCCAUUUCAAUAGCAACUAGCUAUCCUCUUGGCUCGAUGCCAGGAUUAGUUAACCGUUAUCAAAGGGUUGAACGUGGUUCUGAUGUCAGUUUGCACGGAUUAUCGUCUACGGAGGCAGGAACAACCAGAAAAGGCAAAGAAAAUCGAAGGAGGAACAGCUUCCUCGCCAUAGAUGUGAGUGAUGAUGAGUACGAUGAGUAUGGUGUAUACCAGACUGAUAUUGAUACGAGCUGCUCUCCUCAAGGUAAUCAAUAUUAUGGCCCAAUGGAAUAUGAGGAGACGAGCAUAGGUGAUGGCCCCUGUAAGCAUCUUAGUGACGAAACCCAAGAUUGCAUAUAUAUACAAGAAAGCUUUGUAUUUACCUCUUUUGGGAAGGUAAUGAAAGAGAGAAUCUGUUUUGUUUUAACCAAAGCAGGUUUCUUCACUUAACUUUUAAGAAAAUCAUGUUUCUUCAGUGUUCAUAGUGGCUGUGACUGUGAUUCUUGUCUGAAUCUGUUUUAUUUCUUCUUUACAUCAUCAACUCUCAAAAUAUUUAACUCCCCAGUUUUGUCUGAAUCUGUCCUUUCUUAGUUCGUUUUUUUCCAGGAAGGUAAAGACAAUAUAUUAUCUUCACACUCCCAUAGCUUCCAUAAACGAGAUUGGAGGAGCAGAAGCAAUAAAUAUAGUCACAUCAAUUGCUUUCUUGAUAGCUUUUGCUAUACUCAGGAUUCAACCAGUAAACGACAUAGCCUACUUCCCUAAAUGGUAUCUCAAGGGCCUAAGAACUAGCUCCAUACAAACUGGUGGCUUUGGAAGCAAGUUCAUCAACUUGGACUUCAUGUCCUAUGUUUGAUUCCUCAACUGGAUGCCUGAAGCACUUCAAAUGCCAGAACCAGAGCUCGUCAGGUCUCGAUUCUGUUGUCUACUUGAGGAUCUACGUACUCGGGUUCAAGAAUUUUUCCCCAUAGCUUGCGUUGCUUUUACAACAAUGGUGCAUAUUAAUUGGAAAAGCAAGGGAUUGGAUGGAUUAAAACACUCUAAUAUAAGCUACAGUGAUAUUGAUAAGCUUUCAUUGUCAAAUAUACCAAAUGGAUCAGACAUGUGAGCUAUACAUUUCCUAGAGUUUGGUUCUUUUUCUUCUUUGUUCCAUUAGUGUAAUGGUUAUUCAUUUUCCUAUAGAUUUUGGGUGCAUCUGUGUAUGGUUUAUGCAAUCACCUUCUGGACAUGCUUAAUGCUGAAAAGAGAGUAUUAGAAUAUAGUAGGCUUCAGUUUCUUGCAAAUGACAAAAUGAGACGUAACCAGUUCACUGUAAUGACACCAUGAAUUUUUUUUAGUAACUAUUGAGUUAAGCUUUCUUGAUAGAUUCAAUCUGAAAAAUUAGUUCCUUUCGACAUUAUAGGAGAUUAACCACUACUAAAUGGAUCAAAAAAUCUAUUUUCUUUCAACAAAUUAUCAUUUUGAUAUUUGUGAACAUAUAUUUUUACUAAAACCAAAAAUGAAUAGUAAAUUUAUGUAAAAAUAAAAUAUACGAACCCGGCGCGUAGCGCCGGAAUACCACUAGUUUAAUAUAUAUUUUAAAUCGAAUAACCUAUAUAAAACCCAACUAAAUGAGUUUAUAUGAAUAUUUAUUUUUAUUAAAAGUCCACAUAACAAGAUUUUACCAUUGUUUUAGUUUGUUCUCUUUAGAACAAAUUUUACCAUUUGACAUAUACAGUUGAUUUCUUAUAUGUGAGAGUUCUACAUUGUCAUUGACAAAAACAAAAUCAAAUGAUAUAUUUGCAGGUUCUGUACCAGUGGUCAUAUAUAAUUGACUACUUAUACCUGAGAGGUUUACAUGGUGUUAUUACUAUGAUUGGAAAAGUCUGUUGGUUGGUCCGUGGAUUAAUAGUAUUAAUUAAGCUGUUAUAUUGUUAAUAUUUGUUUAUUCUUUAGUAUUGAAAUAAGGAUAAUUAAUUAUAUGGGUUACAUUAUAGUGUAUGUGUUUUUUUAGGAUAUUUAUUUAUUCAUUAGUAUUUAGGUAACUUAGGUUGUCGACAUUUCAUUUCUAAAGUACCCUUAAUGACUUCUAAUUUUUUAAGUAAAACUGAUGGCGCAAAAAGUAAUAUAUCAGAGAAGAGUAGAGGUAAUUUCAUAAAAGGGUUCAUGAAUUAAUAGUAUUGAUGUAAUAUACCCUACUAUCUUAUUCUUACUAGGGAUGUUCAAUAUGGCAAAACCGAACCAAACCGAAAUAGAUAAUAUGGUUUGGAUUUGGUAUAUACCAUACAAACCGAAUGGAUAUGAUUUUUAAAAAACCGUAGGAUUUGGAUAUGGUUCGGUAUAUAACCGAUAAAA